This 30-nucleotide non-coding RNA is filed under the name Cricetulus griseus (Chinese hamster). Lineage: Eukaryota; Metazoa; Chordata; Mammalia; Rodentia; Cricetidae. The record is from RNAcentral.
AUUAGAAGUUGGAAGUGGAAAGUUGGAAGA